Molecule: ribosomal RNA, 503 nt
Filed under: uncultured bacterium
Lineage: Bacteria
Description: partial 16S ribosomal RNA
Rfam family: Bacterial small subunit ribosomal RNA
Source: RNAcentral
AUUGAACGCUGGCGGCAGGCUUAACACAUGCAAGUCGAGCGGGGUGAUGGUGCUUGCACUAUCACUUAGCGGCGGACGGGUGAGUAGUGCUUAGGAAUCUGCCUAUUAGUGGGGGACAACAUCUCGAAAGGGAUGCUAAUACCGCAUACGUCCUACGGGAGAAAGCAGGGGAUCACUUGUGACCUUGCGCUAAUAGAUGAGCCUAAGCCGGAUUAGCUAGUUGGUGGGGUAAAGGCCUACCAAGGCGACGAUCUGUAGCGGGUCUGAGAGGAUGAUCCGCCACACUGGGACUGAGACACGGCCCAGACUCCUACGGGAGGCAGCAGUGGGGAAUAUUGGACAAUGGGGGGAACCCUGAUCCAGCCAUGCCGCGUGUGUGAAGAAGGCCUUAUGGUUGUAAAGCACUUUAAGCGAGGAGGAGGCUCUUUUGGUUAAUACCCAAGAUGAGUGGACGUUACUCGCAGAAUAAGCACCGACUAACUCUGUGCCAGCCGCCGCGGUAA